Molecule: ribosomal RNA, 440 nt
Filed under: uncultured bacterium
Lineage: Bacteria
Description: partial 16S ribosomal RNA
Rfam family: Bacterial small subunit ribosomal RNA
Source: RNAcentral
CCUACGGGCGGCAGCAGUGAGGAAUAUUGCACAAUGGUGGAAACCCUGAUCCAGCAACGCCGCGUGAGUGAUGACGGCCUUGGGGUUGUAAAACUCUUUCUUCAGGGGCGCUAAUGACGGUACGUGAGGAGGAAGCCACGGCUAACUACGUGCAAGCAGCCGCGGUAAUACGUAGGUGGCGAGCGUUGUCCGGAUUUACUGGACGUAAAGGGGGCGUAGGAGGACUUUUAAGUGAGAUGGGAAAUACUCGGGCUCAACUUGAGUGCUGCAUUUCAAACUGGAAGUCUAGAGUGCAGGAGAGGAGAAUGGAAUUCCUAGUGUAGCGGUGAAAUGCGUAGAGAUUAGGAAGAACACCAGUGGCGAAGGCGAUUCUCCGGACUGUAACUGACGCUGAGGCUCGAAAGCGUGGGGAGCAAACAGGAUUAGAUACCCGAGUAGUC